Molecule: transfer RNA, 69 nt
Filed under: Camelidae sp. PDM-2021
Lineage: Eukaryota; Metazoa; Chordata; Mammalia; Artiodactyla; Camelidae
Description: tRNA-Gly
Source: RNAcentral
AUCCUUUUAGUAUUAAUUAGUACAACUGACUUCCAAUCAGUUAGAUUCGGAGAAACCCGAAAAAGGAUA